GACGAACGCUGGCGGCGUGCUUAACACAUGCAAGUCGAACGGAAAGGCCCUGCUUGCAGGGUACUCGAGUGGCGAACGGGUGAGUAACACGUGGGUGAUCUGCCCUGCACUUCGGGAUAAGCCUGGGAAACUGGGUCUAAUACCGGAUAGGAGCCAUUUUUAGUGUGAUGGUUGGAAAGUUUUUUCGGUGUAGGAUGAGCUCGCGGCCUAUCAGCUCGUUGGUGGGGUAAUGGCCUACCAAGGCGGCGACGGGUAGCCGGCCUGAGAGGGUGGACGGCCACAUUGGGACUGAGAUACGGCCCAGACUCCUACGGGAGGCAGCAGUGGGGAAUAUUGCACAAUGGGCGCAAGCCUGAUGCAGCGACGCCGCGUGGGGGAUGACGGCCUUCGGGUUGUAAACUCCUUUCGCUAGGGACGAAGCUUUUUGUGACGGUACCUAGAUAAGAAGCACCGGCUAACUACGUG
Molecule: ribosomal RNA, 465 nt
Filed under: uncultured bacterium
Lineage: Bacteria
Description: partial 16S ribosomal RNA
Rfam family: Bacterial small subunit ribosomal RNA
Source: RNAcentral